UACGAGGGGAGCAAGCGUUGUUCGGAUUUACUGGGCGUAAAGGGCGCGUAGGCGGUCAGCACAAGUCAGUUGUGAAAUCUCCGGGCUUAGCUCGGAAAGGUCAACUGAUACUGUGCGACUAGAGUGCAGAAGGGGCAACUGGAAUUCUCGGUGUAGCGGUGAAAUGCGUAGAUAUCGAGAGGAACACCUGCGGCGAAGGCGGGUUGCUGGGCUGACACUGACGCUGAUGCGCGAAAGCCAGGGGAGCGAACGGG
RNAcentral lists this ribosomal RNA (254 nucleotides) under uncultured bacterium. RNAcentral's name for it is "partial 16S ribosomal RNA". It matches the Rfam family "Bacterial small subunit ribosomal RNA", at positions 524 to 776 of the family's 1533-position model. The record is from RNAcentral.